Xiphophorus hellerii (green swordtail) is the source of this 106-nucleotide long non-coding RNA. RefSeq lists it as uncharacterized. Lineage: Eukaryota; Metazoa; Chordata; Actinopteri; Cyprinodontiformes; Poeciliidae. The record is from RefSeq and is a predicted model, not a curated record. The transcript is spliced from 3 exons.
UUAAUUAGCUUUUUUGAGAGAAGGUUUUAUCACAAACUUUACAAGAAUAUAAUUGUUGGACUCUGUGAGCUUUCAUGUGCCUUUUUUAGUUUGAACAAUCAGUUUU